This is a long non-coding RNA of Eriocheir sinensis (Chinese mitten crab), 1230 nucleotides long. RefSeq lists it as uncharacterized. NCBI's taxonomy places the organism in Eukaryota, Metazoa, Arthropoda, Malacostraca, Decapoda, Varunidae. The transcript has 3 exons. The record is from RefSeq and is a predicted model, not a curated record.
GUACUGAGGGGAGACGUUCGGUUAGGUUAAGGGAGAGAAUGAGUACUGAGGGGAGACGUUCGGUUAGGUUAAGGGAGAGAAUGAGUACUGAGGGGAGACGUUCGGUUAAGGGAGAGAAUGAGUACUGAGGGGAAGACAUUAGGUUAGGUUAGGUUAAGGGAGAGAAUGAGUACUGAAAGGAAAAAGGAAAGUUUCGUUUAGUCGGCGCAACAUCUGUGGCCAUAUGCCGGAGAGAGACAGAAGGGGAAGGAAUUAUAGGAGAAGGGAGCAGAUCCCAGGAGACGGGACACAACCCCCGAUUAAUACCUGGUACCCAUUCACUGUUGGGUGGACAGGGGCGUAGGGUAUCGGAAAAGCAGCCCAAAUUUUUCCACUCCGCCUGGGAAUCGAACCCGAGCUCUCUCAGUUGUGAGCCGAGUGUGCUAACCACUGCACCACGAAGCCCCCCGAAUGAAUACUGAGGGUAAGACGUUAGGUUAAAUUAGGUUAGUUAAGGGUGAGAAUGAGUUACUGAGGCUAGGAGAGUGAUUUUGCGGCCUUGUGAGUGAUACUGCAUUGUUGUAGAUAGACGGAGAGUGAAGACGGUAUUAAAAAGUAUAUUAAAAGGACGAAGAUAAGUAUAGAGGGAAGGAGUAAGGCAAGAAUGACAGUGGGAUAGGAAGAGCAAGGGAAAAGAAAAACAAGGAGAGCAAUUUAGUAAAGAGAAAGUGGGAGGAUAGAGAAUGGAGAGGAUAUUAAACACUGAGAGGAGGAAGGGCAAGGGUGAGAGAGAUGUAUAUAUAGAGUAAAACAGAAAUAAGAAGAGCAAAGGGGAAAAAAAAGCGAGGAGAGGGAAGAGGAGGAAGAGGACAGGAUUAAAAAAGAGGAUCAGUACAGAGAGAGGGAUAAAGAGCAAGGGUAACUGUUUUAAAGGGAGGGAGCAUAACAGAACAGGCGCAAAGGGAAAGAGAAGAGAGGAAAAUGAGACUUAAUAGGGAGAAAGAGGGGAAGAAAGGGAUGAGGAUAAGGGGAGGGGAUUAGCAAGUGAUUGGACGCAUGGGUGCACAUGAUAUGGGUGAGGGGGAGGAGGGGGAACGGUCGGGUGGUGCCAUGGCGGGGAAUUGAUGUCGGUAAGUGGGUGUUCUGGGAAGUGUGGAAGAAGGGACGAGGGAAGGGGAGGUGGGGUGCUGGGGUGGAGUUAUGGAGAAGCGCUGACGUGGUUGUUUGGUGGAAUUUGGGGAGAGAGAGGAG